UGACCCUUUAAGGGGCCUGAAGGAACGUUGAAGACGACGACGUUGAUAGGCCGGGUGUGUAAGCGCAGCGAUGCGUUGAGCUAACCGGUACUAAUGAACCGUGAGGCUUAACCUUACAACGCCGAAG
Molecule: ribosomal RNA, 127 nt
Filed under: Escherichia coli
Lineage: Bacteria; Pseudomonadati; Pseudomonadota; Gammaproteobacteria; Enterobacterales; Enterobacteriaceae
Description: partial 23S ribosomal RNA
Rfam family: Bacterial large subunit ribosomal RNA
Source: RNAcentral